This 466-nucleotide ribosomal RNA is filed under the name uncultured bacterium. RNAcentral describes it as "partial 16S ribosomal RNA". It matches the Rfam family "Bacterial small subunit ribosomal RNA", at positions 28 to 507 of the family's 1533-position model. The record is from RNAcentral.
GAUGAACGCUGGCGGCGUGCUUAACACAUGCAAGUCGAACGAUGAAGCCCAGCUUGCUGGGUGGCUUAGUGGCGAACGGGUGAGUAACACGUGAGUGACCUGCCCUUGACUCUGGGAUAAGCCUGGGAAACUGGGUCUAAUACUGGAUAUGACUUCUCAUCGCAUGGUGGGGGGUGGAAAGAUUUAUUGGUCUUGGAUGGACUCGCGGCCUAUCAGCUUGUUGGUGAGGUAAUGGCUCACCAAGGCGACGACGGGUAGCCGGCCUGAGAUGGUGACCGGCCACGCUGGGACUGAGACACGGCACAGCCUACUAUGGGAGGCAGCAGUGGGGAAUAUUGCAUAAUGGGAUCAAGCCUGAUGCAGCGCAGCAGCGUGAGGGAUGACGGCAUUCGGGUUGUAAACCUCUUUCCGUAGGGAAGAAGCGAGAGUGACGGUACCUGCAGAAGAAGCGCCGGCUAACUACGUG